This 429-nucleotide ribosomal RNA is filed under the name Gemmatimonadota bacterium. RNAcentral describes it as "Gemmatimonadetes bacterium partial 16S ribosomal RNA". It matches the Rfam family "Bacterial small subunit ribosomal RNA", at positions 355 to 776 of the family's 1533-position model. The record is from RNAcentral. Lineage: Bacteria; Pseudomonadati; Gemmatimonadota.
UAGGGAAUCUUCGGCAAUGGACGAAAGUCUGACCGAGCAACGCCGCGUGAGUGAAGAAGGUUUUCGGAUCGUAAAACUCUGUUGUUAGAGAAGAACAAGGACGUUAGUAACUGAACGUCCCCUGACGGUAUCUAACCAGAAAGCCACGGCUAACUACGUGCCAGCAGCCGCGGUUAUACGUAGGUGGCAAGCGUUGUCCGGAUUUAUUGGGCGUAAAGCGAGCGCAGGCGGUUUCUUAAGUCUGAUGUGAAAGCCCCCGGCUCAACCGGGGAGGGUCAUUGGAAACUGGGAGACUUGAGUGCAGAAUAGUAGAGUGGAAUUCCAUGUGUAGCGAUGAAAUGCGUAGAUAUAUGGGGGAACACCAGUGGCGAAGGCGGCUCUCUGGUCUGUAACUGACGCUGAGGCUCGAAGGCGUGGGGAGCAAACAGG